This is a long non-coding RNA of Schistocerca cancellata (South American locust), 1432 nucleotides long. RefSeq lists it as uncharacterized. The transcript has 3 exons. The record is from RefSeq and is a predicted model, not a curated record. Lineage: Eukaryota; Metazoa; Arthropoda; Insecta; Orthoptera; Acrididae.
GUGCGACCUUCAAUUGCAAAAUCUGUAGACUACAGUGGAGACACCUACGUCGGCAACUGUGGCAAGUCUCUGAGAGAGGACGUCGCUCUGACCCGACAUAAUGUUGAUGAAACGCUUUCCAGCAUGUUUAAAAUUCAGUCACAAGAAGAAUGUAGACAUGGCGGUUCAGUGGCAACGACAAGUACUUGUUGGGCAAUCCAUGGAAAUUUCCUCGAAAGUGUACAGAAGAACAAUGGAGCUUCUAUGUGAUGUGCUAAUUGUGUCAGUGACCAUUGUUAUAAUAAUGGGAACAGUUGAGAAGGUACUCUGGGGAAAAAAAUUUGUCUUAGCCUUCUUGAAGGGAAGACGUGUGUUAGGGUCUAUGUUGAGACUGGACAUGGUGUUUAAGCCAACUUUUCUUUUAUAUGUAAAUUAGUUUGUUUCUAAUGUUUGGAGACACGUGAGCCUUACGAAGCAGUAUAUAUUUAUAUGAAGAGUGAGAUUUGUAAUGUGUCUGUCUGAAGUUCAAAUAUAUCGUUAGUUAAAGCAAAUGAAAUUGGUAUGUCUACUUAUUUUUAUAAGUAGAGAGAGUCUUAAGAAAUUCCUGUACCUACCAACAUACUUUGGAGAAGAAAGUGAAAGAGAGUUUGCAGCAGCAGGCUUACUAGCAAGGAAAGUCGGGCGAGCAUGUCAUGUAAAUCAUCUCAUAAAAGAAGUGGGAGUUAGUAUAUUUACUUUGAACUUAAAUUGUCAUCCAAAGCCAUUAGAACCUGGUGACCAGUGAGAAAGGACUGAAAAAACAGGAAUUCUAAGACCAAACAACUGAGAAUAAGCUGUUGUGUGUUGCCAUACCAAAUAAACCAAAUACGACGAAGAAUCUACUACGAGACAACGGAACAUGCUCAAGUAUAAAAAGGAACAAAAUUUUGAAUUGAGAAAUAGAGAAGAAGAUUCCAGUGUGUUUCUCCAAGAAUAAAUUUGCCUAGAACACUUCAAUUAAGAAGAUCCAGUGCGGGGAAUGUAGAGCUCUCAUAUACAUCAUGGGGAUGCAGACGCGGAAACCAACAUCCAACGCCUCCGGCACCAGUUGCAGUUCACCGGUGCAGACCCGCCUCCACAUACUGAUGCAGUGCAAAUUAUCCACCAGGAUGGGCCACCGCCACACUGGCAUCUGGAAGAGUGGGAAUUUUUAAAUCAAAGGAUUGCUGGACAAUGAAUUGGUGGCACUGGAACAAAUGAAUCAGCAUCACAUUACUGGCCUUCAACGUCACCGGAUCUGACUGGAUGUGAUUGUUUCUGAGGGUUUAUAAUAACUGUUUAUGUGCCUCUGAUACCAACAACAAUGAAUGAACUGAGACAUUGUAUAACAGCAGCAGUUGAAUCUGUAACUCAAGACAGGCUCACUGCAGUGCAGGAACAGUUUGAAUACCACAUUGACAUAUGCCGUGCAUCU